GAAGGAAAAACAUCUCCAGUGCAUGUUUGCAGAAGGGUUGUAUCACGAAGAAAAAUCUGAGGGUCUUCCAACAUGGUUAUUGAUUAGAAACCCCUUAUUUCAUCAGGAGCUUAUGCACUUGGAAAACUUCUCCAGCAUUGGAAAUGAGCCAUCGUGGACAGUAGCAGGGGAUUCUUCUGGAAGCCCUCCAGGCAUGGGCACAGGGUCCCAGCUGGCAGAGGGGUCUUCGUGCAUCGGUGCUGCCUUUAAACAAACAACCACUGCUGUUUUGCUGAUGGCGUGUGCGGAUAGAUCUGUAGCCAGUUUGUGCCGUUUAACAGUUGAAGGAAAAUAAAAAAGGAAACAUUAAAGCUUUUUCCCACCUUGAAACCUGAAGAAAUCCGCCUGCUCCAAACCAGAGAGGCGUGCAUCACUAAUAUCCAGGGGAAAAAG
This 432-nucleotide long non-coding RNA is filed under the name Anas platyrhynchos platyrhynchos (common mallard). RNAcentral's name for it is "lncRNA (ENSAPLG00000021639.1)". Lineage: Eukaryota; Metazoa; Chordata; Aves; Anseriformes; Anatidae. The record is from RNAcentral.